GCUGUUAACAUAGCCAGUAGUCAGAGGCCAUUCAGGCCAGGGGCCGGCGCACGAAACCUGUUUGGAGGUUAUGGAUGAUAAACCCAAUCCUGAAGCCCUAAGUGACAGUUCAGAGCAUCUUUUCUCCUUUGGCGUUAUCGCAGAUGUUCAAUAUGCAGACUUAGAAGAUGGCUUUAAUUUCCAAGGAACCAGGCGGCGAUACUACAGACAUAGUCUUCUUCACUUACAGGGUGCCAUUGAAGACUGGAAUAAUGAAAGCAGCAUGCCCUGUUGUGUCCUUCAGCUUGGAGAUAUCAUCGAUGGAUAUAAUGCACUGUAUAAUGCAUCCGAAAAGUCCCUAGAACUUGUUAUGGACAUGUUCAAGAGGCUUAAAGUUCCAGUUCAUCAUACAUGGGGAAACCAUGAAUUCUAUAACUUCAGUAGAGAGUAUUUAACACACUCUAAACUUAACACUAAGUUUCUAGAAGAUCAGAUUGUACAUCAUCCUGAGACCAUGCCUUCAGAGGAUUAUUAUGCUUAUCAUUUUGUACCAUUCCCUAAAUUCCGGUUCAUUUUACUUGAUGCAUAUGACUUGAGUGUCUUGGGCGUGGAUCAGUCUUCUCCAAAAUACGAGCAGUGUAUGAAGAUAUUGAGGGAGCACAAUCCAAAUACGGAACUGAAUAGUCCUCAAGGUGAAUUAUUCCUUUGAGCUGAGAAUCUAAUAGAUUGUCUUUAAAUUCUUCAGCUACCUUUUAUUCAGCAGGAAGAUGGACAAUUAAGGUAAAAGUAUAUUGUCACUUGUUCAGGGUCAGGAUUUCUCACAAGCCUUCUCUCACAUGGAUUGGUUACAGUUGAUUCAAGAUUGAUUUAACAGAUAUUUUAAAUGCCUAUUUUAGGCCGGGCACUUUUUCUAGGGGUAGAUAUUCCGAGCUGUAAACAAUACUAACAAUAUUACUUUUUUGAUGGCUGGAAUGGAGGAAACAAACAGUACGUGGGCAAGACAGAUGAUAAAUGAAACAAACAAGAUUAUUUCCAUGGUCGUAAGUGCUGCCAAGGAAAUAGAGUAUGAUGUUAUAGAGUGUUACGGAAAA
Molecule: small RNA, 1070 nt
Filed under: Pan troglodytes (chimpanzee)
Lineage: Eukaryota; Metazoa; Chordata; Mammalia; Primates; Hominidae
Description: retained intron
Source: RNAcentral